CCUGGAGUUCAGGCCAGGGCCCCAGCAGCUGCACUCACUGGUGGCCUCUGAACCCCUUCGGUCAUGUGAGCCCGAAGCUACUUCCUGCACUGCGGUGCCACCGUGCCAGCUGCCGCUGGGAAUCUGCCCUGCACCCACACUGUGUGGGGACCUCUGGGAGAGCCCCGUGCCCAGACCACAAGGCCUGCAGCGUCAGCAGCUCCAUCCUCCCGACCCCAUGUGAAGGAGAUCCGUCAAGUCCCGGUCCGGCUGCAGAACCCCGCUCUGGAGCAAACGCAGGGCUGUGAGGUCCCGGGGUGGCAGCUUCCUCCCCACAGGCUGGGCCCUGGGCGUGCUGGGAGGGAGCAGGCCUUCAUUCCAGGUGGAAGGGCAGCAAUGGAGAGAAGAGCUCCUGCCCAGUGCCUGCUGGCUCACCCUCUCAGGCCACUAGCCCCAGAGCAAAAGCUGUGCCGCGGAAACGGGAGCCCCUCCCGGCUGGAGUGGCUCGUCUGGAGCCCUGCCUGUGGGCUCCGCUCCCUUCUUCUCUCAGCCGCCCCUGGGCACACCGGGAUGGGCCAGGUGGCACCAGCACUCCCCACGUCAGAGGCUGGAGCAGAGGGCCUGCGGUGGGCACUUCCCGGGCACGCACGCGCCGUGGUCCUGGGCCCCAGCCCGUGGUGAGAGCCCAGGAGGGCGCCUCUUCCGCUCAGGGAGCGUUACUGAGCGCCUGCUGCACGCAGCCAGGGCACUGCGGAUACGAGCGAGAGAAGGGCCCUCCGUGCUCCGUCCCCCAAAGCCUCUGCUUCCUCACAACACAGGAGCCUGGGUGCUGGCACCCCGCCCGCCCCUGUACACGCCUUUCCUGUCACCCCCACACCCGGCUCUGUCCCCUUGUCUACUUGCCCCUGUGCCCUGUGCCUCUCGCUGCUCCCUAUAAGAUCCACACCUUCUCCCAGGAUCCGCUUAGGGCCUCCCUGGGUCACAGGCUUCUGGGCUUUGUCACCACUGCCACCUGGUGGUCAGGAGCGGGAGUGCACCCCGUUCCGCACUGGGGCUGGCGGCAGAGCCCUGCUGGAACUGUGAGAGGCUCUGGGAGUGAAAAGGAGCCAGGCACACAGAAACUACGGCUUCCCUCGGGUUUCCCACAGCUCGGUAGCCUCAGGAGGGCCCCCUCGGUGACAGGUCUUAAAAGACUGCCUGAAGUCCUGACUUUGUCUAAUUCACCACACGGUACUCCUACCCUGCAGUCUCCAGGGGCCAUGCUGUAAAGCAGAUCCCAAGGAUGGUGUCCCCCAGGGCUGAGGACACAGGGCAGCAGAGAGGCAAGGCAGGUGUCAGCAGUAAGCCUGGACAGGAUCAGGUAAAAGGUCCCAUUUUCUGGGCCUUUGUGUCUACAACCCAAGGGCACCGGGCACCCAGGGCCCACCUUUGGCAGGGCACACCCAUCCACCCAUUUACCCACCCAUCUGUCCAUCCAGCCAAGUAGUUGUGGAGCAGGUGCCUGCCCUACACGGAACUUGGUCCAGUAAUGAGGUGCCCAGGGCAGGGAGUGGGGGUGCCCGUGCAGAGCUGGCCUGCAGGACACAGGGAGUUUCUGCAGCCUGGGCCCACUACGCCCAAAGGAAACAACUGCCACUCCUGGCAGCAGCUGCUAAAUCAGCCACCUUGGGGAGAAGCAAAGAUGCAGGCCCAGAAUUGGGGCUGCCAGAGAUCCUGGGGUGGCCGAGAACCCAG
Heterocephalus glaber (naked mole-rat) is the source of this 1713-nucleotide long non-coding RNA. NCBI's taxonomy places the organism in Eukaryota, Metazoa, Chordata, Mammalia, Rodentia, Bathyergidae. The record is from Ensembl.